Felis catus (domestic cat) is the source of this 2873-nucleotide long non-coding RNA. RefSeq lists it as uncharacterized. The record is from RefSeq and is a predicted model, not a curated record. Lineage: Eukaryota; Metazoa; Chordata; Mammalia; Carnivora; Felidae. The transcript is spliced from 2 exons.
UUAGCUGCAAGGAAGCAAAAAGCAGAUUUCCUGAAGGGCAAGGCAAGUGCGCUGUGCCGGAAAUGAACCCCGGGGCUUGGAGUUCAAGGACAGGGAUUUUAAUCCCCAACAAGAGUCAAGUGCUCAUUAGAUGGGAGGCCUUGGUCAGGUUGUCUGACUUUCCUAAAGUGUGAAACGUAGAGGAUCCCUAAGGAAUCGGGCCCCUGUGACUGCAUAUUGGUCCCUUCUGCCCUAAGGCUGGAAGGCAGCUCGCACUUAGACUCAGCUCUGUUACCUGCACCUUUAUGAAGGUUAAAUGAGUUAAGGUUUACAGCGUGCUUAGAAUGGUGUUUGGUUUAUUGUAGCCUCUGUGUAAAUGUUUAUUGAACGUUGAGUGGUGGCGAGGGAAACUGAGAGUUGGUUCCUUCUCUGGGAAAGCCUUGACUCUGUCCCUUCCAGACUCUUAGAUAAAUGACAGUCUGUGACCCCUUUCCAUUUCUCCUACUCUUUCAGUCAAGAUCCGUGAAUGUUAUUAUCCAGCACCGCAGGAGAGACUAAUGCACGUAAAUACAUGUACAUUGUGGAGAAGAGCGUCUCUAAGGGAACCUGAAUAAUUGUGCAUCAUACCAUUUAGCUGCUCAGAGCUGUUGAAAGAAAAGCUCCUCACACACAGACUCAAUGAGCGUUAGCUUUCUUCUUCCCUUCCUGCGUCCAGCUGGUGUAUUAUUUAAGCUGCAGUGAUAAUAAUUUCAUGCUAUUCCACCAAAUCUCAGGAAAGACCCUUCUUUUGCAGGUGAGGACUAUUUGUGACCUUAGCUUAGGACUCAGUGAUCUGCUCCAAGGUGGGGCUCAGUCAGAGUAGGGAUAGCCUCGUCCAGCUUCCCCCACAAGAAAUGCACAAUGAGCUUUACUUUUCAACCGACUCUGCUUUCCUCUUAGGAAUUGCUAUGGUUUCAACAAGUUCCCCAAAGCCCUGCUGUCCUACUUGGCCAAAUGCCAAAGCGGAUAUAACCAGGUACAACGUGAUGUCUGAAGUUAUCUCGUUUAUGCUGUUGCAAACAUGUUCAUAAAUGUAUCAUCUUACUAGACGGAGAGCUGGGGGUAUCUUCUCAUUUUAUACAUAAGUAACUGAAGUUCAUGGCGGUUAAGUGACUUGCCUGAGGUCACAUAGUUGGCUGGUCCGAAAGCAAGGACAUGUCUCUGCAUGCUAUUUCGUUUCAAUUUAAAAGGCUUAUAAGUCCUCAAUCCAUUGCUUUUUUUUUUUUUUUUUUGUGCCCAGUUACUAGCAAUACCCAUCAUUAUCAGCCCCACUCAUGCCCAACUGUUGAGUGAACCUGCCCUGCCCAAAUCCCUUGUUUAAGAGCUUGCAUGUAAUUUGAAAACAUUUGAUCCUGCCCUCGUUCUCUUCGAUUGGACCAAGAACAAACAGCCAAGCCAUAGGCUUGAGUUGUAGGAGAGAGAGAGAGAUAGAGAUGACCCAAUUAGGCUCUUUUUUUUUUUUUUUCGAGGAAUUUGAUGAACCACAGUAGGAAACCAUCAGCUGAGGAAGCUGAGACGAAAAGCCAUCUGUAGAAAGGACUUUGAGUGGCCAUUUAUGGGUUCUGUAAAGUUAGAGGGGCGACAAAUGAAUAGAUAAGCAAAGGAAACUGCUAGAAAAUAGAGAAGGGAGCAGAUUUAGAGAAAAGCAAAGGAAGUACAGAAGGAGAGAGAAUUUAUAGUCCUAGCUCUCAUCAGACCUGGCUAUAUCUGCAUUUUCUGUUCUUGCAUUCCCCUACUAUAAAACCUGUUUGCUUGGGCUAGCUUGAGUGGGUCCUGCUCCUUGAGACCAACAGCUUUAACCCAAAGAGUCCUAAUACGUUAGAUAUAAAGAAUUAGCCCGGAAAAAAAUGGCUGUUGGGACAUAAUCCAGGAACACCAGCUGGAUUACCAAUGCUAUAAACUUUCUCUUUGUUCUUAUACCCUAUUCGAUGCCUUAGAGCCUAUUUAUGCCAAAGUAUGCUGGAAGGAUCAAAACCAUAAUCUUUUGAAGUAACACCUUCCUUAUUAAGUGGGAAAUCUUUUCAAUACCCAGUAGGUUUUGUUCUGAGUCAACUUACCUGAUGAUGUUCCAGCUGCAUCUUGCUCUGUUUGAUGAUAUUUUCCUUUUCCAGCAGCUCCUUCUGUUGCCUCUCAAACUCCUCCUUGCCCUAUUAUUUUUCAACACAAAGAAAACAUUACAUCACCCCUGUGAUUCACUUACGCUAACAAUUUCAUUGACAAACGUGUAAAUACCCUUUCAUUUUCCAAUGCCUUGGCGAUUUCCCACAGGCCCGCUUAGGCCCUGUGAACCCCAGGCCCUGGUGUGCUUCUUUGCCAGACUUCCAGAGUCACCACGGAGGUCAAGGCUGAAAAGUAAAGUCCGUGUCCAUGUGAGAGGCCACCAUCUCUGCUCCACUUCACCAUUCUUGGAGAUCCACAAUCCCCUUCAAACCUCCUUAAGCAACACUGUUUCUCAGCGUCCUAAUGGGAUCCACGCUGCACUCCUGGUUUCGUUGAAUCACCUAUGACUCUACACCAAGUCGGUAUUUCCAACAGACAGAGCUGGACAACCCGCCAUAUGAAUGAACUAUAUGACAGAAUGCCAACAGAAGUGGAGAGGAUAUGAUUAUCUGGGGGCCCACUCUCCUACUUGGGGAGUCUCUUUCUGCUUGCCUGAGGCAUAUCAAUGGAUCACUCCAACUCUGUGCUUCACUCAUGUUGCAAAUGAAGAAAUUACAACCCUGGCAGGUUUGAGAAGUCAAUCACACUUAGUUAGUGUCGGGGAAAGGUCUAGAGCCGGGGACUCAGGACUCUCCGGCCAGUGUUCUCCCAACAGUACGAUAUCGCCUCCAUCUGUGAACUACUAAUUUUGUUUG